Molecule: ribosomal RNA, 1393 nt
Filed under: Augophyllum kentingii
Lineage: Eukaryota; Rhodophyta; Florideophyceae; Ceramiales; Delesseriaceae
Description: partial large subunit ribosomal RNA
Rfam family: Eukaryotic large subunit ribosomal RNA
Source: RNAcentral
GGCGUUUUGUGCACCAUCGAGCUGCUCAGCCACUUUUUUUUGAUAAAAAAAAGAGAGGUGUAUUCAGUGGAUGAAGAUGCUGCCGUCAUAUUCUAUCAUUUUUUUUUAGUGGGUCGAGAAUAAGAUUUUCCCUACGGAUGGAUUCUAUGACGGAGGACUGACGCGAUACGACCCGUCUUGAAACACGGACCAAGGAGUUUAAUGUACCUGCGAGUCAAAGGGUGGAAAAACCCCAGGGCGUAGUGAAAGCGACAUAGAACUGUAACAGUUUGGUUGCGGCGUAGAAUCGUUGAUUCGAUGCCUGACAGAGAGCAGGUCCGUUGAUACCCGAAAGAUGGUGAUCUAUGCCGGGGCAGGGCGAAGCCGGAGGAAACUCCGGUGGAGGCUCGCAGCGGUGUUGACGUGCAAAUCGCUCGUCUGACCCUGGUAUAGGGGCGCAAGACUCAUCGAACCAUCUAGUAGCUGGUUCCCCUCGAAGUUUCUCUCAGGAUAGCAGGCCGAGCUAAGAAAGUUGCAAUGUGAGGUAAAGCCAAUGAUUAGCGUAUUUUGGGGCGAUAUUUGUUCUCGGACGAUUCUCAAACUUUAAAUACGCAUGAACUCUGCUGCUUGUUAGAGCAGAGAUGGAUGAACCUCGGCCUUGUGGGCUCGUUUUGGUAAGCAGAACUGGCGAUACGGGAUGAACCGUAAGUGUGGCUAAGGCGCCCAAUUAUUCGCUAAUAGAACCCAAGAAAGGUGUUGUUUCAUAUAGACAGCAGGACGGUGGCCAUGGAAGUUGGAAUCCGCUAAGGAGUGUGUAACAACUCACCUGCCGAAUGAAGUAGCCCUGAAAAUGGAUGGCGCUUAAGCGAAUAGCCGACACCACACCGUUUGAAAUAUAUCCUAAUCCUUAAACUACUNNNNNNNNNNNNNNNNNNNNNNNNNNNNNNNNNNNNNNNNNNNNNNNNNNUUCAAAUGAGUAGAGGGGCGUAACGGUUGCUGAGAAGCUAAUGUUUAAACAUAUGUGGAGCGGCCGCUAGUGCAGAUCUUGGUGAUAGUAGCAAAUAUUCAAAAGAGAUCCUUGAAGGGCGAAGCGGGGAAGGGUUCCAUGUCAACAUUGAUUGAGCAUGGGUGAGUCGUUCCUAAGCCACGCGUUAAUUGCAGCGCAUCGGCGAAAGGGAGACAGGUUGAAAUUUCCUGUACACGGAUGUGGAGCGCGGUGACGCAUUACUUGGGGUGGUGACGUCGGGAAUGGCACUGGGCAGAGUUCUCUUCUCUGUUUGACGUAAGAGGCGUUCUGUGGAAUCCGAUUAUCGGGAGAAACAGACGCGUCAAGGCAAAGCGCCGCGGAUCAGGCGGCGUCCAGUUUCCAUUUUCGGCCCUUGAAAAGCCACUUGCUGGGUAGCAUUAUAUAUAG